AAUAAGUGUAGUUUUGCGCUAUUCAUCUCUAAUAUUUGACCGUUCGUUUUAUUUGAAAAUUUUUUAUGAUUACUAUUUUUAUUGCUAUUAGAUGAUAAAACAUGAAUAGUACUUUAUGUGUGACUAAUUUUUUUAAUUUUUUUCAUAAAUUUUACAAAUAAGACGGAUGGUCAAACGUUGGACACGGAUUUCCACGGCUGCACUUAUU
Non-coding RNA from Oryza glaberrima (African rice), 208 nucleotides. The record is from Rfam. NCBI's taxonomy places the organism in Eukaryota, Viridiplantae, Streptophyta, Magnoliopsida, Poales, Poaceae.